Molecule: ribosomal RNA, 464 nt
Filed under: uncultured bacterium
Lineage: Bacteria
Description: partial 16S ribosomal RNA
Rfam family: Bacterial small subunit ribosomal RNA
Source: RNAcentral
CCUACGGGGGGCAGCAGUAGGGAAUUUUCGUCAAUGGGCGCAAGCCUGAACGAGCAAUGCCGCGUGAACGAGGAAGUUCUUCGGAUCGUAAAGUUCUGUUGAAGGGGAAAAAGAGCGGAGAGAGGAAAUGGUCUCCGAUUGAUAUUACCCUUCGAGGAAGUCACGGCUAACUACGUGCCAGCAGCCGCGGUAAUACUUAGGUGGCGAGCAUUAUCCGGAAUGAUUGGGCGUAAAGGGUGCGUAGGCGGCCUGCUAAGUCUGGAGUGAAAGGUACCGGCUCAACCGGUACAGGCUCUGGAAACUGGCGGGCUAGAGAGCAGGAGAGGGAGGUGGAACUCCAUGUGUAGCGGUAAAAUGCGUAGAUAUAUGGAAGAACACCAGUGGCGAAGGCGGCCGCCUGGCCUGUUACUGACGCUGAGGCACGAAAGCGUGGGGAGCAAAUAGGAUUAGAUACCCUGGUAGUC